Small nuclear RNA from Arvicanthis niloticus (Nile rat), 184 nucleotides. RefSeq annotates it as U2 spliceosomal RNA. Lineage: Eukaryota; Metazoa; Chordata; Mammalia; Rodentia; Muridae. The record is from RefSeq and is a predicted model, not a curated record.
AUAACUUCUUGGCCUUCUGACUAAGAUCAAGAGGAGUCCUGCUCUUGUCGGGUUAAUAUCUGAUGCACCCCCAUCUAAGAUUGAUAUGGUAAGUGUAUUUACAGGAGGAAAAUGGAGUAGCCUGCUCUGUCCACUCCACACAUAGGCUUGGUACUGCCGUACCUAGAGGAGCUGUGUAUAGCAC